GAUGAACGCUGACAGAAUGCUUAACACAUGCAAGUCUUUGGCGAAGCUGUGCUCGCCCAGCCUAGCCAAGGCGGACGGGUGAGUAACGCGUAAGGAACUUGCCCUGCAGUCAGGGAUAACAGACGGAAACGACUGAUAAGACCUGGUAAAGUCAGGCGGACUCAUGUCCAGCCUGAUGAAAAGAGAUGCUGCAGGAGAGCCUUGCGUCCUAUUAGCUUGUUGGUGGGGUAACGGCCCACCAAGGCGAUGAUAGGUAGCCGGCCUGAGAGGGUGGACGGCCACAAGGGGACUGAGGUACGGCCCUUACUCCUACGGGAGGCAGCAGGGGGGAAUAUUGGACAAUGGGGGCAACCCUGAUCCAGCAAUUCUGUGUGCACGAUGAAGGUUUUCGGAUUGUAAAGUGCUUUCAGCAGGGAAGAAAAAAAUGACGGUACCUGCAGAAGAAGCGACGGCUAAAUACGUG
Molecule: ribosomal RNA, 463 nt
Filed under: uncultured bacterium
Lineage: Bacteria
Description: partial 16S ribosomal RNA
Rfam family: Bacterial small subunit ribosomal RNA
Source: RNAcentral